AUGGGCUUCUAUGGUCACCUGAAAUGGGAACGCCAUCUAUCUUGGGAUGACAUUCGCAAUUUACAUAGUAAGAGCAACCAUCCCUGGGUGGUUUUGGGGGAUUUUAAUGAAUUUUUAUACCCCUCGGAAAAAGAGGGCGGUGUAGCUAGACCACUUGGUAUGAUGGAGUUCUGUGAAUGCCUAAUGGACUGUGGGCUGGAAGAUCUAGGCUAUAAUGGGGACAUGUUCACUUGGAGGAGAGGCGAAAUUCUAGAGCGCCUUGAUCGGGCAGUUUGUAACUUAGCAUGGGCAAACAAAUUUCCACGAGCGACAGUUAUCAAUGAAGAACAUGUUUAUUCUGACCAUCACCCAAUCGUACUGGAUAUGGAGUAUUGGGAUGAAAAAAUCUUUAAACGCCCAGAGGGGCUUGUAAAACAAUUUGAGGCGAGAUGGUUGAAGGAAGAGACAGUCACUGAAAUUGUUAAGGCAUCUUGGGAGAAAGCAAAACUAGCAGGUAUUGGACCCUCACUUGCUGACCAUACGAGAGCAGUGCAUGCCGAUCUACAUACUUGGGGUCGGGAAACGCUAAAGGGGCCAAAGGCGAGAAUUAGAAAAUUUAAACAAGAGUUGGAGAGACUAAGGCGUGGCCCAUUGAAUACGGAAUCUCGAUGUCGUCAGAAGGAAAUUAUCGUGGUAACUGAAAAUAUUUUGGAGCAAGAGGAAAUAUUCUGGUUAUAG
RNAcentral lists this ribosomal RNA (717 nucleotides) under Triticum aestivum (bread wheat). RNAcentral describes it as "partial small subunit ribosomal RNA". The record is from RNAcentral. Lineage: Eukaryota; Viridiplantae; Streptophyta; Magnoliopsida; Poales; Poaceae.